RNAcentral lists this ribosomal RNA (497 nucleotides) under uncultured bacterium. Its description in RNAcentral is "partial 16S ribosomal RNA". It matches the Rfam family "Bacterial small subunit ribosomal RNA", at positions 28 to 507 of the family's 1533-position model. The record is from RNAcentral.
GAUGAACGCUGGCGGCGUGCCUAAUACAUGCAAGUCGAGCGAACAGACGAGGAGCUUGCUCCUCUGACGUUAGCUGCGGACGGGUGAGUAACACGUGGAUAACCUACCUAUAAGACUGGGAUAACUUCGGGAAACCGGAGCUAAUACCGGAUAAUAUAUUGAACCGCAUGGUUCAAUAGUGAAAGACGGUUUUGCUGUCACUUAUAGAUGGAUCCGCGCCGCAUUAGCUAGUUGGUAAGGUAACGGCUUACCAAGGCAACGAUGCGUAGCCGACCUGAGAGGGUGAUCGGCCAAACGGGAACUGAGACACGGUCCAGACUCCUACGGGAGGCAGCAGUAGGGAAUCUUCCGCAAUGGGCGAAAGCCUGACGGAGCAACGCCGCGUGAGUGAUGAAGGUCUUCGGAUCGUAAAACUCUGUUAUUAGGGAAGAACAAAUGUGUAAGUAACUAUGCACGUCUUGACGGUACCUAAUCAGAAAGCCACGGCUAACUACGUG